This is a long non-coding RNA of Haliotis rubra (blacklip abalone), 138 nucleotides long. RefSeq lists it as uncharacterized. The record is from RefSeq and is a predicted model, not a curated record. The transcript is spliced from 4 exons. NCBI's taxonomy places the organism in Eukaryota, Metazoa, Mollusca, Gastropoda, Lepetellida, Haliotidae.
GAACAAGGUUGGCCACUCCAAACUGCUGAAGUGAAGGCCGAGGCUCGUUUGUUUACAAACAAAGUGAUGGAGUUGACAUGCUUUCAUGGAAUAUAGAGGGUCUACGUAAAUUGAGAGACCAAAUACCGAUAUGGGUAU